Molecule: long non-coding RNA, 486 nt
Filed under: Struthio camelus australis
Lineage: Eukaryota; Metazoa; Chordata; Aves; Struthioniformes; Struthionidae
Description: lncRNA (ENSSCUG00000016699.1)
Source: RNAcentral
AAGUCCAUACUCAUCUGUAGUGAAUGGGAUAGUAUCUGAGGGUGUCUGAUUUGUGGAUGCGUGUAUCUGUUUCAGAUGGCUGCGGGUUUAUGGAGGUCCAUCUUCUUGUGAAGCCAAGGACAAUGAAUAGUUAUAACAAGAGGAGCUCACCAUAAACACUUUUUUCUAAAUAUCCAGCACUGAAUUCUGUCUGGCACAGUUGUCAAUAUAAUGUUCCAGAUUCCAUCUUUUGCCAUAAACUGCCUUCUAAGCACAAUGUAAAUAGAAUAGGCACGUAAGAAUUGGGAAUUUGUGUGAUUAACAAGCUGCAUUUUUAACUGCCGUGGGAGAUUUAUUUAGACUGCCGAGUAUGCUUCAGAAUGUGUUUUUUAAUAUAAAUAGCUACUAAGAAAAAAGUCAGAUGAAUGUCAGAAAUGAGCUUUAAUGAAAUAUUUUUAAGAACAUAUACCAAAUAAAGUAAUGUGGUUUUCCCUGUUCUUUUCUUCG